RNAcentral lists this unclassified non-coding RNA (862 nucleotides) under Hevea brasiliensis (rubber tree). The record is from RNAcentral. Lineage: Eukaryota; Viridiplantae; Streptophyta; Magnoliopsida; Malpighiales; Euphorbiaceae.
AAUGAACACCCCUUAACUAUCCAUUUUCAAUAAAUACAUCUCAGUAAUAACAGCAUAAUUUUCCAAGUCAGACAGCUGUGAAUGAAGUUCUUUCACAGCAAAUGUUACUUUGCCAGUGCACAGUUAGGUGCCAGAAAAGCCAAAAAGGCAGAUGAGUAAAUGAGCAAACAAUUGAAAAUAAAAACACUUUUUAAGCUUAUUGAUAAAAGAUGGCUUAUGAACCACUAAAGAUAUAAUGGCACAUGAUUAUCAAGAGAUCAAGCAUAUGAAUAGAUAAUUUCAAUGAGCUUAAUGUAAAAAAUUUAACAAUGAAAGUAGAGAUGACUUUGCUUAAAAAAUAAAGAAACGAGUCCCCUAGAAGGAAUAUGUCAAUAUGCUAUUAUUGCAUUAUAGCAAUCCCACAUUGAACUACGUAGACCAAGAUAUGCCCGAGGCAAAGAUUUUAACCAUCAAUGUCUGAAAUAAAGAGAGGGAUGGUCCUACAAUCCAAUGAAUCCAUAGAACUCCUUGCUCUAUGGUGACACUAAACUCCUCUCACAGGAGAUGAUGUCCAUCUCAGCCUAGUUGUCCAAGUACUAUCACUUAUCACGGAAAUGUCAAACAAUCCCAUACUUAUGAAAAAUUAUUGAUACUACAACCCCAAAAAUGGUAUUCACGGGUGAGUACCUGAGUAACCGACUUAUGGAAUCAUGAUUGGGGAGCCCGGAUACUGCCCGAGCAAUCUCACAUAGCUCGAGAUAUACCCUAUUACUCAGACAAAUCAUAUUAAGAUAAGGAUUUCCGAGAUACUUUCCAUACAGACUUCAAUGCUAUCUGGACUCUGAGUCCCAUUUUAACAUCAACUCCUAUUAGGAAUAGGAGU